This 468-nucleotide ribosomal RNA is filed under the name uncultured bacterium. Its description in RNAcentral is "partial 16S ribosomal RNA". It matches the Rfam family "Bacterial small subunit ribosomal RNA", at positions 28 to 507 of the family's 1533-position model. The record is from RNAcentral.
GACGAACGCUGGCGGCGUGCUUAACACAUGCAAGUCGAACGGAAAGGCCCUGCUUUUGUGGGGUGCUCGAGUGGCGAACGGGUGAGUAACACGUGAGUAACCUGCCCUUGACUUUGGGAUAACUUCAGGAAACUGGGGCUAAUACCGGAUAGGAGCUCCUGCUGCAUGGUGGGGUUUGGAAAGUUUCGGCGGUUGUGGAUGGACUCGCGGCUUAUCAGCUUGUUGGUGGGGUAGUGGCUUACCAAGGCUUUGACGGGUAGCCGGCCUGAGAGGGUGAACGGCGACAAUGGGACUGAGAUACGGCCCAGAAUGCUACGGGAGGCAGCAGGGGGGAAUAUGGCACAAUGGGCGGAAGUCUGAUGCAGCAACGCCGCGUGCGGGAUGACGGGCUACGGGUGGUAAACCGAUUUCGAAUGUGACGAAGAGUGAGUGACGGUAAUGGGUAAAGAAGCACCGGCUAACUACGUG